Long non-coding RNA from Saccostrea echinata, 630 nucleotides. RefSeq lists it as uncharacterized. The record is from RefSeq and is a predicted model, not a curated record. NCBI's taxonomy places the organism in Eukaryota, Metazoa, Mollusca, Bivalvia, Ostreida, Ostreidae. The transcript has 3 exons.
AAGAUUUGGAGACCAUUCAAAGUACUGGGAAUUAAGCAGAUCUUGUGGGCUUGCUGUGAUUUGCUUGAUGACAUUAUCAAGAAUGUGGACCAUUCAGGCAAAUGAGAUAAUCAUAAUCCAUCUGGCAGGUUGAAGAGGAGACUUCCAAGAAUGGUGUUCAUAAAGUUAUUUUGGACAAUGUGAAAAAAGCAUUUGAAGCCUAACAGGAAUUGGUAGAAACAACUGGUUGAAAAUGCAAUGUUGAUGGAUUUUGACCCUCCAAGAUGUGGAAAUAAGCAGCCAUAGUCAGAUAUGAAUUGGUGGAAAAACCUGGAAAAGGCAAGACUGAUGGAUGUUGACCCUCCAAGAUGUGGAAAUAGCAGUUAUAGCCAGACAUGAAUCGGUGAAAAAACCUGGAAAAGGCAAGGUUGAUGGUUGUUGACCCUCUAAGAUGUUGAAAUGAGCAGCUACAUUGGUGGAAAAACCUGGAAAAGACAAGACUGAUGGAUGAUGACCUCCCCAAAAGCAAGACUAAUCACUGUGGAGAACUGUCACUGAUCAGUGUGCUUUAUGAGUUGGUGACAGUACCCAGGAGACUUAGAUGAAGUCGUGUUGGUGUGCUUGACAUUUUAAAUUACAAGGAGCCCUCAG